RNAcentral lists this ribosomal RNA (289 nucleotides) under uncultured Pseudomonas sp. RNAcentral describes it as "partial 16S ribosomal RNA". It matches the Rfam family "Bacterial small subunit ribosomal RNA", at positions 1096 to 1382 of the family's 1533-position model. Lineage: Bacteria; Pseudomonadati; Pseudomonadota; Gammaproteobacteria; Pseudomonadales; Pseudomonadaceae. The record is from RNAcentral.
GCGCAACCCUUGUCCUUAGUUACCAGCACGUUAUGGUGGGCACUCUAAGGAGACUGCCGGUGACAAACCGGAGGAAGGUGGGGAUGACGUCAAGUCAUCAUGGCCCUUACGGCCUGGGCUACACACGUGCUACAAUGGUCGGUACAAAGGGUUGCCAAGCCGCCGAGGUGGAGCUAAUACCCAUAAAACCGAUCGUAGUCCGGAUCGCAGUCUGCAACUCGACUGCGUGAAGUCGGAAUCGCUAGUAAUCGUGAAUCAGAAUGUCACGGUGAAUACGUUCCCGGGCCUU